GCCGACGUAGCUCAGUUUGGUAGAGCAGCUGUUUCGUAAACAGCAGGCCGGAGGUUCAAGUCCUCUCGUCGGCU
RNAcentral lists this transfer RNA (74 nucleotides) under Candidatus Omnitrophota bacterium. RNAcentral's name for it is "tRNA-Thr". It matches the Rfam family "tRNA". From Rfam's summary of the family: Transfer RNA (tRNA) molecules are approximately 80 nucleotides in length. Their secondary structure includes four short double-helical elements and three loops (D, anti-codon, and T loops). The record is from RNAcentral. Lineage: Bacteria; Pseudomonadati; Candidatus Omnitrophota.